AUACGUAGGUGACAAGCGUUAUCCGGAUUUACUGGGCGUAAAGGGCGUGUAGGCGGUCUUGCAAGUCAGAAGUGAAAUUCCUGAGCUCAACUCGGGCGCUGCUUCUGAAACUGCAGGACUUGAGUGCUUGAGGGGAUAGCGGAAUUCCUAGUGGAGCGGUAAAAUGCGCAGAUAUUAGGAAGAACACCGGUGGCGAAGGCGGCUAUCUGGACAGUAACUGACGCUGAGGCGCGAAAGCGUGGGGAGCAAACAGGAUUAGAUACCCUGUUAGUCCACGCCGUAAACGAUGAAUACUAGGUGUAGGGGGUAUCGACUCCCUCUGUGCCGCAGUUAACACAAUAAGUAUUCCGCCUGGGGAGUACGGCCGCAAGGUUGAAACUCAAAUGAAUUGACGGGG
This 397-nucleotide ribosomal RNA is filed under the name uncultured bacterium. Its description in RNAcentral is "partial 16S ribosomal RNA". It matches the Rfam family "Bacterial small subunit ribosomal RNA", at positions 523 to 918 of the family's 1533-position model. The record is from RNAcentral.